GAUGAACGCUAGCGACAGGCUUAACACAUGCAAGUCGAGGGGCAUCAUGAGGUAGCAAUACCUUGAUGGCGACCGGCGCACGGGUGAGUAACGCGUAUGCAACCUGCCCGAUACCGGGGUAUAGCCCAUGGAAACGUGGAUUAACACCCCAUAGUACUUUUAUCCUGCCUGGGAUGGGAGUUAAAUGUUCAAGGUAUCGGAUGGGCAUGCGUCCUAUUAGUUAGUUGGCGGGGUAACAGCCCACCAAGACGAUGAUAGGUAGGGGUUCUGUGAGGAAGGUCCCCCACAUUGGAACUGAGACAAGGUCCAAACUCCUACGGGAGGCAGCAGUGAGGAAUAUUGGUCAAUGGACGUAAGUCUGAACCAGCCAAGUCGCGUGAGGGAAGACUGCCCUAUGGGUUGUAAACCUCUUUUAUAAGGGAAGAAUAAGUUCUACGUGUAGAAUGAUGCCUGUACCUUAUGAAUAAGCAUCGGCUAACUCCGUGCCAGCAGCCGCGGUAA
This 501-nucleotide ribosomal RNA is filed under the name uncultured bacterium. RNAcentral describes it as "partial 16S ribosomal RNA". It matches the Rfam family "Bacterial small subunit ribosomal RNA", at positions 28 to 523 of the family's 1533-position model. The record is from RNAcentral.